UCAGGAUGAACGCUAGCUACAGGCUUAACACAUGCAAGUCGAGGGGCGAGCAUGAUCUUAGCUUGCUAAGAUGAUGGCGACCGGCGCACGGGUGAGUAACGCGUAUCCAACCUUCCCUGUACUAGGGGAUAGCCCGGCGAAAGUCGGAUUAAUACCCUAUGUUUUCCGAAGCGAGCAUUUAAUUUGGAACAAAGGUUUACCGGUAUAGGAUGGGGAUGCGUCUGAUUAGAUAGUAGGCGGGGUAACGGCCCACCUAGUCGACGAUCAGCAGGGGUUCUGAGAGGAAGGUCCCCCACAUUGGAACUGAGACACGGUCCAAACUCCUACGGGAGGCAGCAGUGAGGAAUAUUGGUCAAUGGGCGAGAGCCUGAACCAGCCAAGUAGCGUGCCAGGAUGACGGCCCUAUGGGUUGUAAACUGCUUUUAUAUAGGGAUAAAGUGAGGGACGUGUCCCUUAUUGUAGGUACUAUAUGAAUAAGGACCGGCUAAUUCCGUGCCAGCAGCCGC
Molecule: ribosomal RNA, 506 nt
Filed under: uncultured bacterium
Lineage: Bacteria
Description: bacterial SSU rRNA
Rfam family: Bacterial small subunit ribosomal RNA
Source: RNAcentral